Long non-coding RNA from Oreochromis aureus, 1022 nucleotides. Lineage: Eukaryota; Metazoa; Chordata; Actinopteri; Cichliformes; Cichlidae. The record is from Ensembl.
AUGAAAUCAAUUCAAGAAUCAAAUGCUGCAUUGUCUUUAGUUAUAUUGAUAAUAUUUAUUUAUGGUAAAACAGUGGAGAAAUAUCGCUCUUGCUUUCAUAUAACUGCAGCGGACAUACCUGAGUGGCCGCGAUCUAAUCCUGUUUACAUAAAGUAAACCUGCUCCCGAGCAGGUUUACGCUUACGGAUCUGUUGCUAUGACAGCAAGUCCCAGAUGAGCUUCGGAGAACCGAACGAUCCAAGAUCACGCGAAAUCGUCAACAUUCAAAUCCGGCUAACUUACUUAGCGAGGUACGAAGAACGGGCCCCUGCUCCUGUUUUUGUUUGAGCGUGGCAUUUCUCCCUCCUCCCACUCAGGGUUUUAAAGCCAGGAACUUGACACAGCAAACAUGAAGGCGACUGUUCAUGUAACGCGUAGGAUCCCUCCACGCACCAAAAAGAGGAUUCAUGCUUACUCCACUCUCAUCUACAGAGCUCAUAAAGAGGUUAGUCCUGUUGGACUGAGAAGUCCUGAGUUUCUGACCAGGAGGCAUGGUGUCCCCAGACUGGUCCUGCUCAGGCUUGUAGGCUCGGAGGCUUCUCGGCUGUCCAAGUCAAACAGGUUGAAAGUCAUCACUCGGAGAGAGCUCAGUGCUGCUGUUGCACACAUACAACGGAGGAUCCAUGCAAGAGCCGCUGCCUGAAGAUAUAGACUUUAAAACAAAAUUUUAUUUUUAUUAUUAAAGGGUUUAUUUUUUUAAUCUCUGCCUCUUUAUUAAAGUAAAGCUGUUAGGUAUUUAACCCUAACAGCUGGUGGAUGGAAGACUAGGACAGACAGAAAGUGUGUACGCUCAGAUUUAUGGAGGUUGCGACUUCCUAUUAAUUGUAAUGGUCCUGUUAUUCCACAAGGUGGAGCCAUGGGGCGUGAGGUCAUGGGCAAAAACCAUCUUCCAAUAAGAUAAGACUUGCUUAUGAUAUUCUGACAGUUUGACAGGCAACUUCCAAAUAUCAAAAUCACAUUUCAGGAGAAAAUCCAACCCUCCC